ACAGUAUUGGUGCUCACAGAGUGUCUGCAUAGCUCACAGCUGGGGGACUCUGCAGAAAAGACACCCCCAAACCACAUCUCCGGUGUGGUGGGUUUUAUAGAGAAUUCACAUCACCACUUUCUGAUGCAGACACGGGCUGAUCUGUCCCUGGGGAGCCGUGUGUCCACCCCUACCUGCCAGGUGACCUGGGAAGCCCAGCUUCCAGUCGCACAGUGAGGAGCGAUCGGAGCCCUGGCGCACUGCUGGGGAAGACGGAUGGCGGUUCCGCAGCGAGACGAGGGACUGCCAGACGGCGCAGAUUCCAGGUGGACGGGCCAUCUGCAGGCUCAGGCUCGGACAGCUGCACACCCAUGUUCGCAGCAGCAUCAUUCACGACAGCUGAAACGUGGAGACAGCCAAGUGUUCACUGACAGACGAACGGAUAAACAAACGGGGCACAGCCCUACUAUGGACGCCACUCAGCCUUAGAGAGAGUGAAAUUCUAACACAUGCUACAUACAACAUGGAUGAAUCUUGAAAACAUGACAGGAGGCAGUGGUGCAGACGGGCUUCCAAGGUGAGAUCUGGAGAGGCUGCCGUGAACCAUGUGACUAAACAAGGUGCCAGCUGUUUCUCCAAGGGGCUCCUAUCGGCUUCAAAGUCCAUCUUCAUUCCUUAAAGCUUUCUGGUGACAUCCAGAGUCUAGGCAUGUCUCUCUACAUCAUGACUUUCCAGUCAAAGUCUUGGUUGAUAAAACCACAAUCGGAAACUGGCUUUGUGUGUUCGACGAGGGAGAUAGGUGAUCUGAGUCACAGCACCGUAUGUCACUGGCAAUGUUAGUGGCGAAAUGGCACCAGUUGUUACCAGUGAAGUUAAAAAC
Molecule: long non-coding RNA, 859 nt
Organism: Molossus molossus (Pallas's mastiff bat)
Lineage: Eukaryota; Metazoa; Chordata; Mammalia; Chiroptera; Molossidae
Exons: 3
Source: RefSeq, a predicted model, not a curated record